GAUGAACGCUGGCGGCGUGCCUAAUACAUGCAAGUCGAGCGAACAGACGAGGAGCUUGCUCCUCUGACGUUAGCGGCGGACGGGUGAGUAACACGUGGAUAACCUACCUAUAAGACUGGGAUAACUUCGGGAAACCGGAGCUAAUACCGGAUAAUAUAUUGAACCGCAUGGUUGAAUAGUGAAAGACGGUUUUGCUGUCACUUAUAGAUGGAUCCGCGCCGCAUUAGCUAGUUGGUAAGUUAACGGCUUACCAAGGCAACGAUGCGUAGCCGACCUGAGAGGGUGAUCGGCCACACUGGAACUGAGACACGGUCCAGACUACUACGGGAGGCAGCAGUAGGGAAUCUUCCGCAAUGGGCGAAAGCCUGACGGAGCAACGCCGCGUGAGUGAUGAAGGUCUUCGGAUCGUAAAACUCUGUUAUUAGGGAAGAACAAAUGUGUAAGUAACUAUGCACGUCUUGACGGUACCUAAUCAGAAAGCCACGGCUAACUACGUG
Molecule: ribosomal RNA, 497 nt
Filed under: uncultured bacterium
Lineage: Bacteria
Description: partial 16S ribosomal RNA
Rfam family: Bacterial small subunit ribosomal RNA
Source: RNAcentral